UACGAAGGGGGCUAGCGUUGUUCGGAAUUAUUGGGCGUAAAGCGUCCGUAGGUGGGUGAGGAAGUCUGCUGUUAAAGAGUGAGGCUUAACCUCAUAAGGGCAGUGGAAACUCUUCGUCUAGAGUGCGACAGGGGCAAGGGGAAUUCCUAGUGUAGCGGUGAAAUGCGUAGAGAUUAGGAAGAACACCGGUGGCGAAAGCGCCUUGCUGGGUCUGCACUGACACUGAGGGACGAAAGCUAGGGGAGCGAAAGGG
RNAcentral lists this ribosomal RNA (253 nucleotides) under uncultured bacterium. RNAcentral's name for it is "partial 16S ribosomal RNA". It matches the Rfam family "Bacterial small subunit ribosomal RNA", at positions 524 to 776 of the family's 1533-position model. The record is from RNAcentral.